ACGGAAGGCAGCGGUGGGGAAUAUUGGGCAAUGGGCGAAAGCCUGACCCAGCAACGCCGCGUGAAGGAAGAAGGUCCUCGGAUUGUAAACUUCUUUUAUGAGGGACGAAGGACGUGACGGUACCUCAUGAAUAAGCUACGGCUAACUACGUGCCAGCAGCCGCGGUAAUACGUAGGUAGCGAGCGUUAUCCGGAUUUACUGGGUGUAAAGGGCGCGUAGGCGGGGAAGCAAGUCAGGUGUGAAAUCUAUGGGCUUAACCCAUAAACUGCACUUGAAACUGUUUUUCUUGAGUGCUGGAGAGGUAGACGGAAUUCCUAGUGUAGCGGUGAAAUGCGUAGAUAUUAGGAAGAACACCAGUGGCGAAGGCGGUCUACUGGACAGUAACUGACGCUGAGGCGCGAAAGCGUGGGGAGCAAACAGGAUUAGAUACCCUGGUA
The sequence is a ribosomal RNA, 437 nucleotides long. It matches the Rfam family "Bacterial small subunit ribosomal RNA", at positions 341 to 792 of the family's 1533-position model.